This 279-nucleotide ribosomal RNA is filed under the name uncultured Staphylococcus sp. RNAcentral's name for it is "partial 16S ribosomal RNA". It matches the Rfam family "Bacterial small subunit ribosomal RNA", at positions 83 to 354 of the family's 1533-position model. The record is from RNAcentral. Lineage: Bacteria; Bacillati; Bacillota; Bacilli; Caryophanales; Staphylococcaceae.
CCUUUGACGUUAGCGGCGGACGGGUGAGUAACACGUGGGUAACCUACCUAUAAGACUGGGAUAACUUCGGGAAACCGGAGCUAAUACCGGAUAAUAUUUCGAACCGCAUGGUUCGAUAGUGAAAGGUGGUUUUGCUAUCACUUAUAGAUGGACCCGCGCCGUAUUAGCUAGUUGGUAAGGUAACGGCUUACCAAGGCGACGAUACGUAGCCGACCUGAGAGGGUGAUCGGCCACACUGGAACUGAGACACGGUCCAGACUCCUACGGGAGGCAGCAGAG